Molecule: ribosomal RNA, 1234 nt
Filed under: Staphylococcus aureus
Lineage: Bacteria; Bacillati; Bacillota; Bacilli; Caryophanales; Staphylococcaceae
Description: bacterial SSU rRNA
Rfam family: Bacterial small subunit ribosomal RNA
Source: RNAcentral
UGCAAGUCGAGCGAACGGACGAGAAGCUUGCUUCUCUGAUGUUAGCGGCGGACGGGUGAGUAACACGUGGAUAACCUACCUAUAAGACUGGGAUAACUUCGGGAAACCGGAGCUAAUACCGGAUAAUAUUUUGAACCGCAUGGUUCAAAAGUGAAAGACGGUCUUGCUGUCACUUAUAGAUGGAUCCGCGCUGCAUUAGCUAGUUGGUAAGGUAACGGCUUACCAAGGCAACGAUGCAUAGCCGACCUGAGAGGGUGAUCGGCCACACUGGAACUGAGACACGGUCCAGACUCCUACGGGAGGCAGCAGUAGGGAAUCUUCCGCAAUGGGCGAAAGCCUGACGGAGCAACGCCGCGUGAGUGAUGAAGGUCUUCGGAUCGUAAAACUCUGUUAUUAGGGAAGAACAUAUGUGUAAGUAACUGUGCACAUCUUGACGGUACCUAAUCAGAAAGCCACGGCUAACUACGUGCCAGCAGCCGCGGUAAUACGUAGGUGGCAAGCGUUAUCCGGAAUUAUUGGGCGUAAAGCGCGCGUAGGCGGUUUUUUAAGUCUGAUGUGAAAGCCCACGGCUCAACCGUGGAGGGUCAUUGGAAACUGGAAAACUUGAGUGCAGAAGAGGAAAGUGGAAUUCCAUGUGUAGCGGUGAAAUGCGCAGAGAUAUGGAGGAACACCAGUGGCGAAGGCGACUUUCUGGUCUGUAACUGACGCUGAUGUGCGAAAGCGUGGGGAUCAAACAGGAUUAGAUACCCUGGUAGUCCACGCCGUAAACGAUGAGUGCUAAGUGUUAGGGGGUUUCCGCCCCUUAGUGCUGCAGCUAACGCAUUAAGCACUCCGCCUGGGGAGUACGACCGCAAGGUUGAAACUCAAAGGAAUUGACGGGGACCCGCACAAGCGGUGGAGCAUGUGGUUUAAUUCGAAGCAACGCGAAGAACCUUACCAAAUCUUGACAUCCUUUGACAACUCUAGAGAUAGAGCCUUCCCCUUCGGGGGACAAAGUGACAGGUGGUGCAUGGUUGUCGUCAGCUCGUGUCGUGAGAUGUUGGGUUAAGUCCCGCAACGAGCGCAACCCUUAAGCUUAGUUGCCAUCAUUAAGUUGGGCACUCUAAGUUGACUGCCGGUGACAAACCGGAGGAAGGUGGGGAUGACGUCAAAUCAUCAUGCCCCUUAUGAUUUGGGCUACACACGUGCUACAAUGGACAAUACAAAGGGCAGCGAAACCGCGAGGUCAAGCAAA